AUUUUUUUCGGUUUGUAAAAAAAUUCAAUAAAAUGCAAUACUUAAACACAUUUUUACCAAUUUCAACUCCAUAAACUCCUAAUUUUCCUUUGUAAUUUGCUCUAACAAUCAGUUAAUAACAACAGCAUUUUUCAAAUAUACCCACAAGGAAAUAAUAAUAAUAAUAAUAAGCAUCUCGAAUUUUGGAAAUUCCAGAAAAGAAAAAAAAUAAUUAAAACUCACCAUAAAUUAAGAAAAAAAAGAGUGACAAACUCCCAAUUGUUUUCCCGUAAGAACUCCCAAUCAUUUCUGCACUUGAACCCAGCUUUAUACGCUUCUUGGGAUUGACUUGAGUUCCUUGAUCGCUGAUAUUCACACGGGCUCCCACCAUGAUCCUAUGCCUCUUUGUCUUCCAUGCCAUAAUCUUGUACCUCACCGAAG
This 420-nucleotide unclassified non-coding RNA is filed under the name Hevea brasiliensis (rubber tree). The record is from RNAcentral. Lineage: Eukaryota; Viridiplantae; Streptophyta; Magnoliopsida; Malpighiales; Euphorbiaceae.